GACGAACGCUGGCGGCGUGCCUAAUACAUGCAAGUCGAGCGGACUUUCAAGAAGCUUGCUUUUUGAAAGUUAGCGGCGGACGGGUGAGUAACGCGUGGGCAACCUGCCUGCAAGACGGGGAUAACUCCGGGAAACCGGGGCUAAUACCGGAUAAUAUCUUCCUUCGCAUGAAGGAAGGUUGAAAGGCGGCGCAAGCUGCCGCUUGCAGAUGGGCCCGCGGCGCAUUAGCUAGUUGGUGAGGUAACGGCUCACCAAGGCGACGAUGCGUAGCCGACCUGAGAGGGUGAUCGGCCACACUGGGACUGAGACACGGCCCAGACUCCUACGGGAGGCAGCAGUAGGGAAUCUUCCGCAAUGGACGAAAGUCUGACGGAGCAACGCCGCGUGAGCGAAGAAGGUCUUCGGAUCGUAAAGCUCUGUUGUCAGGGAAGAACAAGUACCGUUCGAACAGGGCGGUACCUUGACGGUACCUGACCAGAAAGCCACGGCUAACUACGUG
RNAcentral lists this ribosomal RNA (499 nucleotides) under uncultured bacterium. RNAcentral describes it as "partial 16S ribosomal RNA". It matches the Rfam family "Bacterial small subunit ribosomal RNA", at positions 28 to 507 of the family's 1533-position model. The record is from RNAcentral.